Molecule: small RNA, 544 nt
Filed under: Histoplasma ohiense
Lineage: Eukaryota; Fungi; Ascomycota; Eurotiomycetes; Onygenales; Ajellomycetaceae
Description: hypothetical lncRNA
Source: RNAcentral
AUGGCUGGGUUUGCUAAUCGCUGGAUGAAAUUUGGGGGUUGAGGGACCCAGGAGAUGGGGCUUGGUGGGGUUUUGUCCCCCCCCCCUCCCCCCAUCCAUCAGGCCAGGGCUUUUUCCUGGGAUGGGGGGGGUUCUGGAGGGCUCGAUUCUCGAUUAUCGAUGCGUUGGACCCAGGUUAACGAACUACAGCGUACAGAGUAGUUACGUGGUUUUGAACGAGGCUAGCAAAAAAGCGGUUGGGCGUUGGUCCGAAACCUAGCAGCGGGUAGCAUAUGCUGGCAUUCCAAUGACAAUGAAGGAACAAGAUUCUACUCCGUACUUGCGUUGAAGAAGGUAUAGAAAAGGGGGCCUAAACUCUAUCCAUAUUGAUGCUUCAGCUUUUGCCUUGGUUGGAAUAUUUUGAUCUUUCAUUCUCAACCACCGGUAGUUGACCGAGUCGGCUUUCGGCGUUUCCCCUUAGUGUUGAGAACCUAAGGAUAUAUUAUAGUCUCCUGCUGAGCAAAAUAUUGGAGUGUUGAAUAGUGAUCCGUAGAUGACUUUCUGG